RNAcentral lists this ribosomal RNA (497 nucleotides) under uncultured bacterium. RNAcentral describes it as "partial 16S ribosomal RNA". It matches the Rfam family "Bacterial small subunit ribosomal RNA", at positions 28 to 507 of the family's 1533-position model. The record is from RNAcentral.
GAUGAACGCUGGCGGCGUGCCUAAUACAUGCAAGUCGAGCGAACAGACGAGGAGCUUGCGCCUCUGACGUUAGCGGCGGACGGGUGAGUAACACGUGGAUAACCUACCUAUAAGACUGGGAUAACUUCGAGAAACCGGAGCUAAUACCGGAUAAUAUAUUGAACCGCAUGGUUCAAUAGUUAAAGACGGUUUUGGUGUCACUUAUCGAUGUAUCCGCGUCGCAGUAGAGAGUUGGUAAGGUAACGGCUUACCAAGGCAACGAUGCGUAGACGACCUGAGAGGGUGAUCGGCCAGAGUGGGAGGGAGACACGGUUGAGACUCCUACGGGAGGCAGCCGUAGGGAAUAUGCAGCAAUGGGGGAAAGCUUGACGGGGGAACGAGGCGUGAGUGGCGAAGGUGUGCGGAGCGUAAAGCUCUGUUAGUAGGAAACACCAAAUGUCUAAGAAAAUAUGCACGUGUUGACGGUACUUAAAAAGAAAGCCACGGCUAACUACGUG